CAAAUCCCAAAUCACGAAAAUUUCAAAUUACGCACGCAAAUGCGCACGAGAACAUUUCCUCAGCUACCAGUCUUUGGUCUAGCUUGCCUUAUGCCAUAGCUGGUUACUAGGUUCUUCCAUUGGGUUGAGAGAGAUGUCGUGCCUGGCGUGCUUCGCUUCGUGCUGUGCUACUAUGACCUGCGGCCUCUGCACAUCAGUGGCCUCUGGUAUAUCCAAGAAAUCCGCUAGACUUGCUUACUGUGGUCUCUUUGGUCUGUCUCUGAUCGUUUCUUGGAUUCUCAGAGAAGUUGCUGCUCCGCUCUUGGAGAAACUCCCUUGGAUAAAAUCUUCUGAUACUCACUCAAAGGAGUGGUAUCAAAUACAGGCAGUACUUCGUGUGAGCUUGGGGUGUUUCUUGUUUUUUGCAAUAUUUGCUCUAAUAAUGAUUGGCGUGAAAGACCAAAAUGAUAGACGCGACUCAUGGCACCAUGGUGGAUGGAUUGCAAAGAUGGUGAUCUGGCUUUUGCUUGUUGUCCUCAUGUUUUUCAUGCCUAAUGUCAUCAUCUCCAUCUAUGGUCAGUUAAGUUCCUGGAAUAUAAAUUUGAGCAAUUGUUGUAUCUAGCUGCUUAUCCAGUCCUAGUUGAGGAAUCUGUGAUCGUUAAUUGACAUAACUGUACGCUUAAAUAAGGAUACUAUAUGUUUUUUGGGCCAUUUUUGCCAAUUUUAUUAAAAAUCUGAAUGAGUUGCAGUAAAUGGCUAAAGAAUAUCAAAGUUGAACAAGAAUUUUUAUCUAAAUGACUUAGUUUAACUGGCAAAUUUUAUGUUUUUUUUUGGAACCUGAUUGUUCUAUUGUUGAAGAGCUAAUCUUUUGGCGUGUGCAACUUACAUUGGGAACAUGUUGGGUUUCCAGGACCCAUCCACCACUUUUGCAGGCCCCUUAGGGAUCCUUCAUAGAUUAUAUCUGAUCAUAUUUGCGUGAGAGCAAGGGAAACAAGCAUUGUCAUAGAAACUUUAGAUAAUCUUUUAUUCCUUUAUUUCCCUUUUUUUCUUUGAUGAUAUUUCUCUUGGCCCAUUAUGUUGACAUUGUUGAGACCAAUUUUGUAUUGACUUGUACUCAGAUCUUUUCCUGAUAUUUGAUGCCAAAUAUCAUAAUUGACCUAUGCAAGCAAAAAAUUACUUGCAGGAACUGUAUCCAAAUUUGGGGCAGGGCUAUUUUUGUUGGUUCAAGUGAUUAUAUUGCUAGACUUUACACACUCAUGGAAUGAUGCAUGGGUUGAGAAAGAUGAACAGAAAUGGUUGGCUCAAGUUUAUAUGUCUCAUAAGCUUCUUUUUUAUGACUAUUAUUUGAUUUCUAACCUUUGGAUCACUUGUUUUUUAGGUAUGUUGCUUUACUUGUCAUAUCAGUUGUGUGCUACCUUGCAGCAUUCACAUUUUCUGGCAUUUUGUUUAUAUGGUUCAACCCAUCUGGCCAUGACUGCGGCCUCAAUGUCUUCUUCAUUGUCAUGACCAUGAUUCUUGCAUUUGCUUUUGGCAUAAUAGCAUUACAUCCCACGGUAAGGAUGAGAUUUUAUUCUUUUAUUUAUUGCUGCCCCAUAAAGCAUACAAAUAGUAGUGUGAUCUUGUGAACAUAACUUAUAAAAGUAAUAGUGUGAUCUUGUGGAGAUAACUAUUUAAUUCAUAACUUACUGUGUGAUUGUGAAUGCUAAUUUUGAAUAGGUUAAUGGAAGCCUCUUACCUGCUUCAGUGAUAUCAGUGUAUUGUGCUUAUGUUUGCUACACGGGUCUCUCCAGUGAACCACAUGACUAUGCAUGCAAUGGUCUUCACAACAAAACAAAAGCAGUCUCCACUAGCACACUUGUGCUUGGGAUGCUUACAACUGUUCUCUCAGUCCUAUACUCUGCUGUUCGUGCUGGGUCUUCGACAACAUUUCUAUCACCACCAUCCUCACCUAAGUCAUCAGGUGAUCUUCAUAAUUGUGAAGAAACAAAAUCCUAGAUCAUUUUUCUUUUCUAUGUAUUAUGAUGGGGGACGAAAACAACUUGUUUUCAUCCUUUGAACAGUAUUAAAUGGAAGUCAGGUGUAGUCCUCAGCCAAAAAACUAGGCAGUCUAUCAGUUGUCACCAUUAUUUUUAUAUGCUGACUAUCAAAUUCUUUUUUCAUGUUUUCUAACGAAGGAAAGUUGUGACAGUAAGGUCUUAAAGGUCUUUGAUAUAUGUACUCAUUUAUCUUACCUGGUAUUGCCUGUAAUUUUUGCUCAAUUGCCCAAAACCUGGCACUUGAAUAUGCUACUAAGUUUUUCCAGGGUAGUUUCUUUUCUUGCCCCAUGGAUUACCAACGUUAGUGGUAUGUGAGCAGUCAUGCACGGCAUUUGGUUGCUGGAAAUUUAUUGCAGUCACAGGAAUGAGCCAUUUUUUUUUGGGCUUUCAACCGCUUCAAAAGUUGGAGUUUAUUCUGGUGCAGAAGCAAUAAGCUUUUGAUCUUUCCAUUCAAAUGCAGUAUAACUCUGACCAAGUUGACAGGAAUAUGUUCCUGUAUCUUUAAAGCUAGCAUUCAUCACCAAAUUAAGAAAAUUAAGCUUUACAGUUAUAAGGUUUCUGUAUAUUAAAUUAUUCUAAAUUUGCUAAUUCUUGUGUUGCAGCUGCAAAGAAACCUCUUCUCGAAGAAG
RNAcentral lists this unclassified non-coding RNA (2644 nucleotides) under Hevea brasiliensis (rubber tree). Lineage: Eukaryota; Viridiplantae; Streptophyta; Magnoliopsida; Malpighiales; Euphorbiaceae. The record is from RNAcentral.